UCUCCGUUGGUGAACCAGCGGAGGGAUCAUUACAGGACUCGCAAGACUCCUUCACCCUGUGAACCUCACUACAGGCACGUUGCUUCGGCGGGUGUCCCGGCGGGGGUUUUCCCUCGCCGGGGCGCACAGCCCGCCGGCAGCCUACUAUACUCUGUCUCUUUGCGUUGGCAUCUCGAGAAAAAACAAACAAGUUAAAACUUUCAACAACGGAUCUCUUGGUUCUG
RNAcentral lists this unclassified non-coding RNA (224 nucleotides) under plant metagenome. Its description in RNAcentral is "partial contains small subunit ribosomal RNA, internal transcribed spacer 1, and 5.8S ribosomal RNA". The record is from RNAcentral.